This 81-nucleotide transfer RNA is filed under the name Oxyrrhis marina. The record is from RNAcentral. Lineage: Eukaryota; Dinophyceae; Oxyrrhinales; Oxyrrhinaceae.
CAUGUGGCCUGGUGGUGAAGGCACUCGCCUGGAAAGCGCGAGCAGCUGGGCUUCCUCCAGGGGGUGCAGGUUCAAAUCCCG